Molecule: transfer RNA, 72 nt
Filed under: Candidatus Egerieousia excrementavium
Lineage: Bacteria; Pseudomonadati; Bacteroidota; Bacteroidia; Bacteroidales
Also listed under: 5 other names
Rfam family: tRNA
About the family: Transfer RNA (tRNA) molecules are approximately 80 nucleotides in length. Their secondary structure includes four short double-helical elements and three loops (D, anti-codon, and T loops).
Source: RNAcentral
GAGCAUAGCUCAGUUGGUUUAGAGCAUCUGCCUUACAAGCAGAGGGUCGGGGGUUCGACUCCCUCUGCUCCC